GAGCCAUUAGCUCAGUCGGUAGAGCAUCUGACUUUUAAUCAGAGGGUCGAAGGUUCGAGUCCUUCAUGGCUCA
This is a transfer RNA of Bacillus sp. SJS, 73 nucleotides long. It matches the Rfam family "tRNA". From Rfam's summary of the family: Transfer RNA (tRNA) molecules are approximately 80 nucleotides in length. Their secondary structure includes four short double-helical elements and three loops (D, anti-codon, and T loops). Lineage: Bacteria; Bacillati; Bacillota; Bacilli; Caryophanales; Bacillaceae. The record is from Rfam.